GACGGAGGGUGCAAGCGUUGUUCGGAAUCACUGGGCGUAAAGCGCGUGUAGGCGGUUUGAUAAGUCGGAUGUGAAAGCCCGAGGCUCAACCUCGGAAGUGCAUUCGAAACUGUCAGACUUGAGUACGGGAGAGGGAAGUGGAAUUCCUGGUGUAGAGGUGAAAUUCGUAGAGAUUAGGAGGAACACCGGUGGCGAAGGCGGCUUCCUGGACUGAUACUGACGCUGAGACGCGAAAGCGUGGGGAGCAAACGGG
Molecule: ribosomal RNA, 253 nt
Filed under: uncultured bacterium
Lineage: Bacteria
Description: partial 16S ribosomal RNA
Rfam family: Bacterial small subunit ribosomal RNA
Source: RNAcentral